UUUAAAACAAAGGGCCUAUUCUUUUCUCCAUCUUUCGCUUUCUCUUUUGGCCAAGUUGCAAAUUCCUGCCCAGAGGAAGUGAACUUGAUCGAUGGGAUGCAAAACCCACUAGCAAAAAGUGAAAUAUUUUAAGAGAGGGGGAGAGAGAGAGAGAGAGAGAGAGAGAGAGGUUCUUAUAUGAAAUGAUGGCUCUUUCAUUUCAUGGGAAGAAGCAAAAGCAUUUAUGCCAAAUGUGCCUGAGACAAGAGGGGAUAUAGAACUCCAUUUGCUGCUAAAUGCCAGAGCUGCUCUCUUCUUAUAUUUCCCUGCCCUGAUCACAUGGCAUGCAUGCUCUUUGUUAUGAUGGGAAUUUGAGCCCCAAUUUGUUCCAAUCCCCAAAAAAAUAUAACCACAACUGAAAGAAAAAAAAAAACCACUUUAUGUUGUUUUUUUAAGCUUUCAUCUAUGGAGGCCACUGAAAUUUAGCAAGAAUCCCCUUUCAUUUUUUUAUCUGAGAUUCUUCCCUUUGUUUCCUUUUUCUUCAUUGAAUAGGAAGAAAACCAUUUAAUUUACUCUACUUUUCAAGCUCAUAGUGAUUUUCAAGACAAACGUCUGUUUCAUAGCCGGAAUUACUGACCUACUGAAAGUAAGUACUAAAGUUCUCAUAUAUUCUUUCUUUAUUGUUGCUAAUCUCUCGCAUGGCAAUGUUGGAUUAAUUUUGCUCUACUUUUGAUACUCAAAAGGUUAUUUUUGAGUGAAGUUUGUUUCAUAGCCGGACUAUCAGGGUAAGUUUCCGAAUACCGAAUACCGCUUCUCGAAUAUUGUCACCGUCUCUCAUGCAAAUAUCUGAUUAAUUUUUUAGCUAUUUUGCAGUGAUUAAUUUAGUUCAUUUGCUAUAGAGCAAAGUAAUGCUGAGGAACAGAUCCAGAACAGUGACCAGCAAGCAACCUCUAAUGGCGGAUUCUCAACCGUCUCUAACUCAAAAAAACUACUCAAAAAGCCCAUCCUUCUUCGACUCUCCAAGAUUCAGAGGCUUCACGAUGAAGGGCAGUUCCGAAACCGAUUCAAAUUUGAUCAGCCCAACUUCAAUUCUUGACACCACCAAGCCAUUCCCCUUCGGAAAAAACCCGUUUUCGGGUGACCAAAUCCAACCCAAAACCCCAAAAAUUCAACCCGGAAACAAACCCUUUUGGGAGAAAUCUGAGGCCAAAGGCAUUGGCCUUGCUCUGGUUCAAACACUCAAAGAUGAAAACUUGGAAGACAAAAAUUCAAAAACCAGUAACCGUAAGGUCCUGUUUGGCACUAAGCUCAGAGUUCAAAUCCCCAAGACUUUGAAUUCCCAGUUUUCAGAAACUGGGUCUGUUAACUCUGGCAUCCAAACAGAGAACCCGAAUUCGGGUUCAGGGUCUGGUUGUGUGAGUGAGAGAAGUGAAAUGGAGCUUUCUGAGGAUUAUACUUGUGUGAUUUCUCGUGGGCCGAAGCCGAGAACGACUCACAUAUUUGAUAACUGCAUUGUGGAAAGUUACCAUACUUUGUCGGAUCAGUCGAGCUCCGGUUCUGAGAAUUUCCUUAGCUUUUGUUACACAUGCAGGAAGAAUCUUGAGCAGAAGAUUGACAUCUACAUUUACAGGUUCGUUUCAAUGGCCCCUUCUUCAAAUGAUUACUCCGAAACUGUUGUUGUAGGAAGUACUUCUGUUCAUAAGGGCUUUUGUCGUAGGUGCUUUUUACUUGAACAACAGGAUUAGUCUUCUUUCCUAAAACACACUUUUAAUACCUACAAAGUCUAUAAGUUUUUAUAUCUAGCGUAAUCAGAAGUGCUUUUUAUCGUCAAAAAACAGUUCUAGCUCUUCUUCAAAUAAUUACUGUGAAAUUGUUUUUGUACGAAAUACUGUUCGUAAGGGCUUUUGUCGUAGGUGCUUUUUACUUUAGGAACAGGAUUAGUCUUCUUCCCCAGAACACACUUCUCCGACCUACAUAGUUUAUAAGUUUUUCUGUCUAGCGUAAUCAUAAGUAUUUCUGAUCGUCAAAAAACACUUUUAGCUUUUUUAGAAGCCAUCUCAAACACGUUCUUAUUCAAUUAUUGGAAGUUUGAAGCACGAAGACGAAGAUAUUGGAUUGCAUGCUUCUCUUAAUAAUCACUAAACAAUAUACAUACCGUUUAUUAUUGGUUUAGUGUUUCUACUACUUUUGAUCAAACAUUUGUAGCGGUUAUAUGUAUCCUACGCUUAAAUCAUUUUUUCAACAUUUGUUUCUAAUUAAAUAACGAUUUAUUGUCUGUUGAAUGUCUCGUGCAGAGGCGAGAAGGCGUUUUGCAGUCAAGAAUGCCGGUACCAAGAAAUGCUCUUGGAUGAAGUUGGGAACACACAACUUGAUGAUACAUUUAGGAGUUGUUCUUGAAUGAUUGAUUUUAGAGACAAAAAAUGUUAGGUCUUCCUAUUUAAUCCUUUUUUAUGUUUUCAUACCCUCUCCACUGCAGAUAAAGAUAAGAGAGGAUGAGGUAUUCUAAGUUUGUAGAGUUCUGAGUUUUUUAAAUUAAUGACUUAAUGUCCUAUGAUUAUGAUAAGUCGUUAUAUGUUUUACGUUUUAACUUGUUCAUCCUUUUAACGUCCUAGGUACAUGUAAAUUCUUCUCCUUCCCUACUUGCAUAACUUGGAAAGACUCAGAACCUGCCCAACUUUAGUCUUUUCUAAUCAAUCGUUGAUAAUUUUAACUGCACAAGAGGUUUUGUUUUUUUGGUUGUGGGGAGGUCAUAAUUUUUUAUUUUCGGUAACGUAAGAGAGUAAAUCACCUCAAAGCUAACUUAAUAAAUGAUAACAACUGCAAAACUAUAGACCAAAAUAAAGUAUUUUAAUUUCAUGCAAACUUAAUGAUAUAAUCGAUAGAAAAAUCACACACAAAAUUAGUAUAGAAAUUUUAAACUCUCGAGAAUAAUUAAAAAGAGGCGACAGUUUGAUCGGAUAAAGGAUAAAUAAAAUGGAGAAAGACUCAGUCCAAUAAAUGGAUCCAAAUUUCCAUACCUAUUAUUUAUACAUUACUUGAUGGCUCGGAUAAUUAAAUAUCGGUAGCAGUUAAGAACUGUGAUGCAAAUUGCAGAGGCUGUCCCAACUUUUGAAGUUCACUUAGAUUUUAGGAUAAAUAUCAGUUUACUAUCCUUAAGAUUUUUAGUUUUUAACAUUUGGUACAUAAAAUUUUUUUUGUUCUAGAGUCAUACCUAAAGUGUUAAUUUUGGAACAGUCUCAUACAUCCGUUAAUCAAACUGUUAACACUGCCGUUAAUUGAUGAUGUGACGCCUAUAUGGACAAUGACUAGACGACACGUGUCAUUAAGGGUCUACGUGAAAAUUAAAAAUUCAAAAAAUAUAAUUAACUAAAUAUUAAAAAAAAUAAAAAAAACUAAACUAAACUAAAAAACCAAAAAAACCCACCCACACCUAGAUCUUCCCCAUCGACCGUUCCCCCAAGCUGGGAUUAAGAACUUGAAGAAGAAGAAGAAGAAGAAGGUUUAGUAAGAGAGAGAGAGAGAGAGAGUGUGUAGGGGGAAAGAGAGAGGGAGUCCCGACCCUCUACGUCACCUGCGACCGCGACAUCCACCCUGCCAACCCUCUUAGCCAACGCCACAAACGAGUCUCGAUCACGCCCUUCUACAACUCGAUGAACUCGGCCACCGAUUUUGUCCCCUCUAUCAAAUCUGUUGUCAACUUCCUCGAUGACAGUUACUUCUCCGACGUUGACGAAGAGAUCGAGGCGAGGAGGGAGACGUCGACAUGAGAGAGAGGGAUGAGAUCGAGAAUCGACAUGAGAGAGAGAGUCCCGACCCUCUGCGUCACCUGCGACCGCAAGAGUGGGGUGGUGAAGGAAAGUUUGGGUUGGAGGGGGGACACUGGUCGACGGGAAUAUCUGGGUGUGGGUGGGAGGGUGGGCACGGGGGAUUUGGGGAAGACGAUCUAGGUGUGGGUGGGAGGGUAGGCACGGGGGGAUUUGGGGAAAACCUCGAGCUUCUGUUCAAAUCAUUCCCCAAUUUUAAGUCUCUGCCUUUAUCCACACAUUUCUCAUCCUCUCUUUCUUCUCUGUGCAGAUGGACCUAAUUGUAUGACUCAAAUUCGAAAAUUUUGGAUUUUGAUUUUGAUUUAGGGUUUUGGAGAAUUAGAGCUAACAAAUAUAUUGGGAGAAUGUUUGUGUUAGGAGCAGAUGAAUGGAGGAGAAGAGGGAAGGGUGGUGAGAGGAGUCGACGAGGAAAUGUCGAUUCGGCUGAUUGGACGCUCGCAACGGCGAUGUGACGAAGGGGAACAGGUCGGUCGCGAUUCGCAAUUGCAAAUGGCAGGUCGAAAGAAGAUGAAAGAAUCGACACCUUAUCUUAACACUCAGACGAGGGAUUUUGGCGGAAUAGGAAAGGAAGCUAAAAUUAGAUAGGAUUUUUUGCGGCAUCUUGGAUUGCUUAGGUGACGAGAAGAUCUGGGUCUUGCUUUUUUCUUUUUUUUUUGAA
RNAcentral lists this long non-coding RNA (4461 nucleotides) under Malus domestica (apple). RNAcentral's name for it is "long non-coding RNA (MDOM_LNC010953)". Lineage: Eukaryota; Viridiplantae; Streptophyta; Magnoliopsida; Rosales; Rosaceae. The record is from RNAcentral.